RNAcentral lists this ribosomal RNA (962 nucleotides) under Carchesium polypinum. RNAcentral describes it as "SSU rRNA". It matches the Rfam family "Eukaryotic small subunit ribosomal RNA", at positions 139 to 1171 of the family's 1831-position model. Lineage: Eukaryota; Ciliophora; Oligohymenophorea; Sessilida; Vorticellidae. The record is from RNAcentral.
AUGGGUAACCUUGACAAACUACAGCUAAUACAUGCUCAACACCUUCAAGGGUUGUAAUUAUUAGUUUUGACCAGUCUUGCACUGUGAGGAGUCAUAAUAAUCGAUCGGAGCGCACUAGUGUGCGCUAAAUCUUUCCAGUUUCUGCCCUAUCAGGAUUGGUGGUAGUGUAUUGGACUACCAUGUCUAUCACGGGUAACGGGAGAAUUAGGGUUCGAUUCCCGAGAGGGAGCCUGAGAAACGGCUACCACAGCUACCGGAGGCAGCAAGGUGCCGUAAAUUACCCAAUCCAAAUUCUGGUAGGGAGUGACAGGAAAUUUGUUGCCCGUGAUUUAUCACCGACACAACCGAACACAUUUAAACAUUUGUGUGUUUAAAUUGGAGGGCAAGUUUGGUGCCAGCAGCCGCGGUAAUUCCACUUCCAGAGUGGAUCUUAAUGUUGCUGCAGUUAAAAAGCUCGUAGUUGAAUUUCUGAAGAUGGGAGAAGCUUCACGCGGAUCCCGUCGUCAUCCGCUCGGAGAGGCAUGGGAACUUUAAUCGGAACUCUAGAUGACCCAGCAUUUUACUUUGAGAAAAUUAGAGUGUUCCAGGCAGGCCUUGCUUGCAUAAAUUAGCAUGGAAUAAUGGAAUAUGACUAGUCUGUUUUAUUGGUUGACAGAAUAGUAAUGAUUAACAGGGACAGUCGGGGGCAUUCGUACUCAGUGGCCAGAGGUGAAAUUCUUAGACUCGCUGAAGACGCACUAAUGCGAAAGCAUUUGCCAAGGAUGUUUUCAUUAAUCAAGAACGAAAGUUAGGGGAUCAAAGACGAUUAGAUACCGUCGUAGUCUUAGCCAUAAACUAUACCGACUCACGAUUGGUGUGCCAUAACCACAUUCAGGACCGUAUGAGAAAUCAAAGUCUUUGGGUUCUGGGGGGAGUAUGGUCGCAAGGCUGAAACUUAAAGGAAUUGACGGAAGGGCACCAAA